RNAcentral lists this ribosomal RNA (327 nucleotides) under uncultured eukaryote. RNAcentral's name for it is "partial 18S ribosomal RNA". It matches the Rfam family "Eukaryotic small subunit ribosomal RNA", at positions 1470 to 1796 of the family's 1831-position model. The record is from RNAcentral.
CCCUUAGAUGUUCUGGGCCGCACACGCGCUACACUGAAGGAGGCAGUGUGUACUCCUGGAUCGAAAGAUUUGGGUAACCCGCGAAUCUCCUUCGUGCUAGGGAUUGAGGUUUGCAAUUAUCCUUCAUGAACGAAGAAUUCCCAGUAAGUGCAAGUCAUAAGCUUGCGCUGACUACGUCCCUGCCCUUUGUACACACCGCCCGUCGCUACUACCGAUUGAAUGAUUUAGUGAGGACUUCGGACUGGGACCGAUGCGGCUUUCGGGCUGCGUCGGUAUUCUGGAAAGAUGUCCAAACUGCAUCAUUUAGAGGAAGUAAAANUCGUANCA